CAACAUGUUUCUAUACCACAUCUAAUGUAUGUAUUAAACAAUAGAUCAGAUCUAUUACCUUGCAAGUUAGAUGCUCUAACCUCGCUGAUCCGGGCUUAAGGAUGAUGUUGCAAGCCGCACACGUGUCCGGCCUCUAGGAGUCAUCCACACGAGCCCACGAAUCUCGAUCAGAAGUCCUGCUUCAGGAAAUCAGCACAGUAUGCUAGUACUGCGCUGAUCCUUCUUUGAUGGUUGAUCAGGUGCCUCCUUCUUCUUGAUUAGGACUCUUCCAAAGAUGAAAAGUAAAAGGAGGAGUUUCAGAUCUGAGACACUCUCAGGAAACUCAAGAUGGAGGGAGGAAAGAUAUGAAAAUAAAAAAUCCUAGAAGAAGACCCUCUUCUUCUUCACGUUUUUCUCUCUAGACACCCUAACUUGCAUCUUUUAUAUCUCCACGACCCAAAGGUUUUUCU
This 449-nucleotide long non-coding RNA is filed under the name Elaeis guineensis (African oil palm). RNAcentral's name for it is "long non-coding RNA (EGUI_LNC067648)". Lineage: Eukaryota; Viridiplantae; Streptophyta; Magnoliopsida; Arecales; Arecaceae. The record is from RNAcentral.